This 504-nucleotide long non-coding RNA is filed under the name Panax ginseng (ginseng). Its description in RNAcentral is "long non-coding RNA (PGIN_LNC006399)". Lineage: Eukaryota; Viridiplantae; Streptophyta; Magnoliopsida; Apiales; Araliaceae. The record is from RNAcentral.
AACGACUCUGGUGAUUAAGAAAUACUAAUUAUAAAAAUAAAAAACAUCAUUACAAUUUGUAGAUGCAUAUUUUGAAAUCAGUUAUUCUUAUUUCAUGGCUACUGUAUCUAUUGAUCUCAAAACUCGUUUUUCCCGAGUAUUAUCUGAUAGGUGUGUAUCUAAAGAAAGAGGGUAUAUAUAUAUAUAUAUAUAUAUAUAUAUAUAUAUAUAUAUAUAGAAAUACUCUAUUUUUUUUCUUCUAGUUAUUUGUUCGAUUCCAAUUUCAAUGGCUCUUCUCCAUUGUUCCUCCCCUUCGCCUCCCUCAAUAAUCUCAUUCAAUAAUUCCACAUCCAAUUCCCUCUUAUACCUUCGCCCUACCAAUUGCUGUUUUACCCGAACUCUUCCAUCUGUCAGGUUAAACGCCAGCCUCGCCGUCGAAUCGCCGGCGAUUUCCGGCUCCAACAGCGGUGGAGACUCACCCAAGCUUCUGUUAGAGGUCAAAGACCUUANNNNNNNNNNNNNNNN